RNAcentral lists this non-coding RNA (82 nucleotides) under Lachnospiraceae bacterium G41. RNAcentral describes it as "c-di-GMP-I riboswitch aptamer". It matches the Rfam family "c-di-GMP-I riboswitch aptamer". From Rfam's summary of the family: GEMM was predicted in a large-scale screen for bacterial structured RNA regulatory elements. Genes associated with GEMM are involved in a diverse array of functions, including chemotaxis regulation, signal transduction, secretion and chitin. Lineage: Bacteria; Bacillati; Bacillota; Clostridia; Lachnospirales; Lachnospiraceae. The record is from Rfam by way of RNAcentral.
UCAAAUAAAGGGCAAACUAUCCGCGAGGGUAGGACGCAAAGUUGUAAACCUUAAAAGAAUUAAAGGUGGUUUAACUGCAAUC